GCAUGACCUUUCAUCGCACGAAACGUCUUCGAAAAGUUUUAUGAACAUAACACCUGCAGGAAGACGUUCUCAACCAAACAUUAAUGGCUUCCAAAGAUCAGUUCUCACCAAACUGGAAACAUUAAUUGUUAAGCAAGAAGAAACGUUGUCAAUAUUGCGUGCUCUGUUAAGCGCUACGAAAGGUGUAGACGAGCACGAAAUUUUGGAAGAUGUUGUACCUAAUGCCUUUGAUUCGGUUUAAGAACUUGAGGACUAUCCUCUAGUCUUGAUGAAGAAAAGUCCAGAAGAAAGUUGCUGCAGUUUUUGGUAGCACUUUGGCAAACACCUGUGCAAACAGUGUUAGAAGAAUUAUGAAAAAGCUGGGAACAAAUAAUCUAUGGUCCCAAUAUAGUUUAAAAGUCAGAAAGUCAAAGCGACCAUUUCAGCACCUUGCCCUCUGCAAAGUUAUAACAAGCCAAGGUUUGUUCAAUCUACCAACGCUGAGGCAGAUAGAACACAUUGAUGCCUUGAUAAUUCUUUAUAUUACGUGAAAACCCAAUUCAAUAAUUGUUUUAUUAUUUAUAUAAAAAAGAUAGUGUUGGUUAAAUGUGAAAAAGGUGCCAUAACGAUUAAAGUUUUGUUCACUUGUUUUGUUUCUCGUGCGUAUGAGAUGACGUUGUAGAGCGAGAUAAUUUCUUAUAUCCGACGUACGUACGUAGUGGCAUUCAUAUAAGUGGAUUUAUUCGAUUGC
Xenia sp. Carnegie-2017 is the source of this 730-nucleotide long non-coding RNA. RefSeq lists it as uncharacterized. Lineage: Eukaryota; Metazoa; Cnidaria; Anthozoa; Malacalcyonacea; Xeniidae. The transcript is spliced from 4 exons. The record is from RefSeq and is a predicted model, not a curated record.